Molecule: RNA transcript, 4965 nt
Organism: Eleginops maclovinus (Patagonian blennie)
Lineage: Eukaryota; Metazoa; Chordata; Actinopteri; Perciformes; Eleginopidae
Gene: ajm1
Gene name: apical junction component 1 homolog
Exons: 3
Source: RefSeq, a predicted model, not a curated record
CCACUAUCGGUGCGCCUCGCUCCAGAGGAUGGAUGAGAGGGGCUGGCAGUCCGGACUGAUGCGGAAACAUCAACAUCUUGAUGGAGAAAACUAGAGGAGUCCCUUUAAGAUGACACGCACAGACCCUCCUGACUUACUGGUAUCAACUGUGCAUCGAGAUAUUAAAGUGAUCCCCAUUUCUACACACUACAAGUCCUUCCAACCCUCCAAACAAUGUGAUUCUAUAAACUACACACUGGAGGACAGUAAGAGCAAAGUCAAUAAGAGGCACUGCUGUACUUUUGACUGUAAGUCAUUGGAGUACAAAAAAUCACACAAAUACUCAAUGGAGUCCCCGUACAAGAAGGCUGAUAGGCAUGCGCCUAACCCAGAUGUUGCCUGGAAUGCCUUGGGCCGCCAGCAGAGAUACCGCUUCUCUGCUCCGGACAUUUUCAGCCAUAGGCUACCUCCUCAACCACUGGCUGCAGAUAUGCCCAGUGAAGUCAUUGUCCCUGAACAAAAAAGAAGGACCAGGUCAAGAAGUGCCCCUCGGGUCCAGACCAGUCUCACCCCUGUGUCUUUUGAAGUGCCCACCUCGUCGGGGAGGAAGGGCAGGGAGUCCCAAAGGGCUACAAGGGAUUCCCGCUGGAGGCCUGAAGUAUCACCGCGUAGGGAGUCUUCCCAUGCGGCAACUAGGGCUCAUAUGCAUGACGUCCAUCCCAUUAAAUUGCAGCCACAAAUUGCUGACAGUAGUAGGUACUCGCCUCACUAUGCUGCUGAUAAUUCUGAGGAAGGAGCGCUGGAUAAACCUGCAACUAGCCCUCAUGUGAGGUGCCGGGUGGACAUCAAACCUGAUGAUGCGGCGCUGCAUCAUUCUGGACGGCAACAGGCUACACCUCAUGUGGACAUACCCUGGCAGAGGCACCACAGUGGGGGGAGUAGGAGUCUUACCGUGCCACGCCAUUUCUCUUACUCGAGAACACCAACUCCCACUGAUUCGUUAGGUCGAGAGGGUAGGCAAGCUUAUCAAUAUUCCCGCAGCAUGCCCAAUAGUUACAUGCAACCCAUGGAGAUUCCCUUGCAAAGAACGACUUCCUCAGGGGAAUACUAUGGAAGGGAGCGCAGAGCUCAUUCAAGUCCUAAUGUGCCGACCAAGUUCUUUUAUGCAGAUGACCCAGGGAGAUAUGUAACUUCUGUUCCACCUCAGCCAACAUCUCGCUUUCAUGACGAACGCUACACACCUGGACAAACAAAUACUCCAAAAGUGCAAUAUGUGCAAGAUCCAAGGACUCGAAUGGUGCACGCCGUAGCAACGAGACCCUAUUAUCCUGAGGUGGAAACCUAUCCCUACGCUGUGCAGUCCGGGUAUCCCAAACCCUAUGCACCCAGUGAACCCGGGCCAUACAUCAUACAGACACCGCCAACAAGAAUAUUUUAUGGGGAUGAUCCAAGGUCUUAUCAAAUCCAAACGACGCCACCUAGGUUUUAUUAUUCCAGCGACAUGUACGCAACGCCGCCAGAGCACCAUGUCCCGGCAAGGGCGUAUUACACCGAGGGCCGAAGACAUGCCAGAGUGAUUCAGGCACAAACGGAUGACUGGUAUGGCUCAGAUGCAUCGGGUUAUUCCACCAAUCCUGCGUCUUAUGUGUCUCAAGUCACUCCAACCAGGGUCCGUCCAGAGCCUGUGCUGGCACCCUGGUAUACCAACCCAUGUGUAGAACCUCCAAGAAUUGGCACAGAAUCUAAAUCUUACUCAAGGUCCUGGGACAAUAUUCUCAACUCUCGUGUGGAGAGGGAACAACCUAUUCCUGUACAGCGGGGUCAAAGCUAUGAUGAUCUUCUUGACUCCAGGAAGCCCGCAGCAGCCACCGGCGACAAACCGCAACCCGUGGUAGUCAAUCUUUCCAGUUCACCGAGACGUUAUGCGGCCUUAUCUAUGUCUGAUAACUCACUCGUUGACAAAAGCCCAACAGAGACAUCGAAGGGCAGUGCUAGUAAACUCUGGUUUGUGACUCCUGAGAUAACAAUCACUGAUAAUGACAUGCGACCCGGGAAACUUAAUAAGGCUGAAGGACGGUCUGCCAGUUGGGACGUUCUUGACUCCAGAAGCACAGAAGAUCCAGGACUGUCUCAACGGGACUUUGAAAGCUCAACCAAAGAGAAGACACACGACAAUGCCUCACUACAGCAAAGCCUUGAACAACUUGAUGAGCUUCUGGCAGAUCUUGUGACUGAUUACAAGCCACCCAGUCGAAGGGCAAGUGAGGACAUUCUUGAUCAAUUAAAGAAGUUAAUUGAUGAGGAGGAAGCAGUAUCUCUGUCCAGAAAGAGCUCAAGGGCAUUUACAGAUGAGCCACCUCCUCUUGACAAGCAGCCAACCUCAAUAAGAAUUAAUCCUGAUGCUUUCCAUGACAUCGGGGGCAGUGAUGCUAUGAAGAGUGCUGAUGAAUGCUCCCCGGAUCAGAGCCCGGAUGAGGAUGAUACAAUGAUGUGCUCUAACAACAAAUGCAGGAGGACAGAGACCCUGUUCAAUGCUUGCCUAUAUUUCAAAUCGUGCCACAGCUGCUACACCUACUACUGCUCCCGAAACUGUCGCAGGGAGGACUGGGACAUUCAUAAAGAAAGCUGCCUGUAUGGAAGAAUGGGAAGCAUAUGUCGUCACAUCAUCAAACACUGCCGGGAGACUGUUGAAGUCCACAAAGCCUUCUCCCGUAUCGCCAAAGUUGGCUACCUUUCGCGAGGUAGAGGAGUUCUGUUCCUCGGUUUUCCCAAUCCUGCAUCCUCAAGUAACUUCCUGCAGUAUGGCCUGGAUACUCUACCAAUGUCUCCUACGUACCUCUCCCUCCGAGAGCUUGAAAGCUUCAAGGACAACCUAGGGGAGUACUGUAAGGAGCUUCAGGAAGCCGGUAAAGAGUACGACCCUAACGAAUGUUUCAUCUUGAAUGUAUCCAUUGCUGUUGGUGACCAACUGCCUGAGGGGCCAUCACCGAGGAACGAAGCUCCGACUGUCAGAAAAUAUGCAAAGGUAGCACUGGCUUCCUUUAGCCCUGAGAGAAAGGUUCACAAGAAAGAGACCGACAUGGAAACGCUGAUCCUCACUCCUCCCCCUGGAACGGCAGAUAUCGACAAAGAGGGAGAGGAAGGCAGGAAGGCGAGGGAGAUCUGUUUUAUAAAUAUACAACGCGAGUUAAGGAUUAGAGGGGUUUUCCUACGCCAUGAAUACCCACAGGUGUAUCAGCAGCUCUGUGAGUUUGUGGAAAGUAACAGAAGGUUCACCCCCACGACUAUUUAUCCUAUCGAUAAGAGGACCGGUAAACAGUUUAUGUGCAUGAUCAUGGCUGCCUCUGAGCCCCGGACAUUGGACUGGGUGGGCACCCCGCAUCUCCUCGAUGACAUCAUUUAAGUGCACCUUUUGUUGUAAAUAUAUAUGUAUAGAAAUACAUAUAUAUUGCUACACAUAUUUAUAUAUCAAUCCAAUUACAAACGUUUGUAAAUAAGUAUUUUGUUAUCAAAAUGAUAUAUAUUCAUGUCUCCUUGGUCAGUAUUAUUCUUUUUCAGAAUAUGUCCUGUCAGGUGCAGAAUGAGUACUGAACAUUAUUUAGUUUCAUCUUUUUACCAAGUACAUAUUUUUAUCCACCACGUUAUUGAUCUGUAACCCGUCACACAUUCCCAUUAGUAGGGGUUACCUGCUGACAUGGUAUUUUAAUUUUUGCUCAUUGUUAGCAACAACUCUAUGUCUUUAUCCUCUUUAUAUGACUCAGUUUCUGUAUGUGAGUAUAACAUGACUAUUUUUCAUAUGCAACUUUAACGGUAUAUCAUGCAGAAAAUAUUAAACCUUAUUUUCUUAGCCACGUAAAUACUUUCUAUGCAAAGUUGCUUCAUGACUUAAGUACCAGAUUCCUGUAGAAUGAGUUGUUUCUGUUAUAUAUGACAUACUAUUAUACACAUCUGUAAAGAAAGUUUUGCUAAAACUGAGAUCAAAGUGUUGGUGGCAAAAUAAAUCAUAAGAAAAUGAUGAGGAAAAAAAAAACGCUGAAUCAUCGAUAAAAAAAAAACAGGCACGAAGUCUAAAUGUUGCUUAGGUAGAAGUACUGUACUAAAAGGUAACGUUUCACUUUGACGGCGUGCUCUGGAGAAUUCAAGCUACAUUCAGUGGUUCUUUGAUUCUGCUCUGCGGGAUUACUGGAGCACUGCUGGACUUGAAAGCGACCUCCACAAAGGAGACUGGGAUGGUGCCAGUUCCCGGCCACACAGUAGGUGUUGGCCUGUGUUCAGUUUUAAACACUGUGAAUAGUGAGAGUUACAAAAACAAGAGAUCAUGCAAUUUCCUGUAACACGGAUGUUAUGACGAGUUGUAUUUUUUAGAUAUGUUUACAAAUCAAAAUAUAUGAAUUAGCAGAAAGGAGUUAUUGUCCUUAGAACAAGGUGAGCCAGGUGUGGCACAGUAGCUAUAUGGUGCAUACAUGCUUGAAAAAGACAUUAGUUGUGUAUUUGUGCUGCACUAGUUUUAUGACGUGUGAUUUAUAUUGUCCUUUUUGGGUUUAGCAAACGAGAACCUUUGCAUUGCUCAUUGGUUGCAGAAGUUUUAGAGAGAUUUAUCAAUGCAACUUAGCCAUGUUGCCUCAUCUAAAGACACAGUAUGUUUCGUAGUUUUGUUCCGGUAGCGUCCUCAGUCCCUGAUUUCCUGCCAGCACGCUGAAGAGGGUUUGAAUCUUACAGGUCUUUCUCUAACUUUGCUCGGUGUUUCACUUUGGGGGAUCACUUUGCCCUAACCAGAGGAGAAGAAGUACUCAGAUCUUGAGUAGAAGUAGAAGUACUCAGAUCUUGAGUAGAAGUAGAAGUACUCAGAUCUUGAGUAGAAGUAGAAGUACUCAGAUCUUGAGUAGAAGUAGAAGUACUCAGAUCUUGUACUUGAGUAAAGUAGAAGUACUCAGAUCUUGUACUUGAGUAAAAUAGAAGUACUCAGAUCUUGUACUUGAGUAAAGU